Molecule: ribosomal RNA, 530 nt
Filed under: uncultured bacterium
Lineage: Bacteria
Description: bacterial SSU rRNA
Rfam family: Bacterial small subunit ribosomal RNA
Source: RNAcentral
AAUAGAUACCCGGGUAGUCCACGCCGUAAACGAUGGAUACUAGCUGUUGGAGGUAUCGACCCCUUCAGUAGCGAAGCUAACGCGUUAAGUAUCCCGCCUGUGGAGUACGGUCGCAAGACUAAAACAUAAAGGAAUUGACGGGGACCCGCACAAGCGGUGGAUCAUGUUCUUUAAUUCGAUGCUAAACGAAGAACCUUACCAGGGCUUGACAUCCCGAGAAUUACUCCGAAAGGAGUGAGUGCUUUAUUGAAUUCGGUGACAGAUGAUGCAUGGCCGUCGUCAGCUCGUGUCGUGAGAUGUUUGGUUAAGUCCAUCAACGAGCGCAACCCUUGUGAUUAGUUGUAUUUUUCUAAUCAGACUGCCCUGGCAACAGGGAGGAAGGAGGGGAUGAUGUCAGGUCAGUAUUGCCCUUACGUCUUGGGCGACAAACACGCUACAAUGGCCGGUACAAAGGGCAGCCAACUCGCGAGAGGGAGCAAACCCCAUCAAAGCUGGUCUUAGUUCGGAUUGCAGGCUGAAACUCGCCUGCA